ACUAUUUAUUAAAAACACAAGACUCUGCUAAGUGGUAACACGAUGUAUAGAGUCUGACACUUGUCCGGUGCUGGAAGGUCAGAAGGAGAAGUGUUCUAAGCUUUGAAUGGAAGCCCCGGUAAACGGCGGCAGUAACUCUAACUGUCCUAAGGUAGCGAACCUAGUGGUGAGAAUCUACAACUUGGAUAGUCUGA
RNAcentral lists this non-coding RNA (194 nucleotides) under Morus notabilis. Its description in RNAcentral is "Bacterial large subunit ribosomal RNA". It matches the Rfam family "Bacterial large subunit ribosomal RNA", at positions 1799 to 2004 of the family's 2925-position model. The record is from Rfam by way of RNAcentral. Lineage: Eukaryota; Viridiplantae; Streptophyta; Magnoliopsida; Rosales; Moraceae.